UAUAUAGUAGUGGUGCAUAUAUAGUAGUAGUCUUUGUAGUGUGUGCAGAUAUGUAGUAGUAGUGUAGUUUCUUGGUUUCCGUGUGUAGUGUAUAUAGUAUAUGUCUCUCUGUAGUUGUAGUUAUGUAGGAUAGUGUGCUUUAUAUAGUAUAGUUGUAGUGUAGUGCAUGUAGAAUAGUGGUGUUUGUGUUGUGUGUGUGGGGGAUUGUGGGGGAGGUUGAUUAGGAGUGGGGGAUUGUGGGUGGUUUGGGUAGAUUUAGGAUUUGACUUCUUCUUCUU
Molecule: long non-coding RNA, 278 nt
Filed under: Capsicum annuum
Lineage: Eukaryota; Viridiplantae; Streptophyta; Magnoliopsida; Solanales; Solanaceae
Description: long non-coding RNA (CANN_LNC003539)
Source: RNAcentral